UACGGAGGGUGCAAGCGUUAUCCGGAUUCACUGGGUUUAAAGGGAGCGUAGGUGGGUUGGUAAGUCAGUGGUGAAAUCCCCGAGCUUAACUUGGGAACUGCCAUUGAUACUAUCAGUCUUGAAUACUGUGGAGGUUAGCGGAAUAUGUCAUGUAGCGGUGAAAUGCUUAGAUAUGACAUAGAACACCAAUUGCGAAGGCAGCUGGCUACACAAUUAUUGACACUGAUGCUCGAAAGCGUGGGGAUCAAACAGG
Molecule: ribosomal RNA, 253 nt
Filed under: uncultured bacterium
Lineage: Bacteria
Description: partial 16S ribosomal RNA
Rfam family: Bacterial small subunit ribosomal RNA
Source: RNAcentral